Molecule: unclassified non-coding RNA, 945 nt
Filed under: Leishmania donovani
Lineage: Eukaryota; Euglenozoa; Kinetoplastea; Trypanosomatida; Trypanosomatidae
Description: gene:unknown
Source: RNAcentral
UGGCUUUUCCACACGUUUUUUUUUUGCUUCCUUCGCUUCUGAGCUCCGCAUCACAGGGAGGGGAAGGGGCUAUCUCUUCGCUACAUAUUGUGUCGAGGUUGCGAGAAUGCCUUUACAUGGGCGGCCACCACCAACGACUGCAGCGGCCGUUCAACGCAGCCCACGUGCAGUCCUUCACGUGUGGGCAUCGUUUUGACCCCGAGACUCCAUUGCUGCGUAUUUUCCUUCGUCUCGCUUUAUCACGCAACGUUCAGUGUUUGUGCUGCAACUGUCGUUCUUGGGCCCUCCCCCUUUCUCUUGGUUCGAAGUUGUGAAGGAAAAGGUGUCCCACCCACCCCACCCCCUCCUUUUCUGCGCUUUCGUGUACAAGUGCGUGCGCGUAUUUCCAAUGGUGCCGCUGGUCAGCACUCCUUGUUGCGCGCCACCAUUCAUUCUGUUAUUCCUUUGCGUGUCUGUGCGACGCGACGGCGACGCACAGACACACACACACACACAGACGGAGAAACCAGAAACAAAGAAGACUCCCUGCUCGUUGUUGUCGUCUUCCUUUCUCCUGUGAAUCGCCCCGAGCCGACACUCUUCGUCGUCUGCUCAUUCUGAAACUUCUCCCCCUGAACGGCGGCACGCGUUUCUGCACCCCUCUGCAUCUGAUGCACCGCCCCACGCCUUGAUGGAAGCACAUCGAUUCGGAUUUCGCGCAGGCGCAUCUGUGCUACAUCGUAGUGCAUAGUCAUGAAGAAGGUACAAAGCAAGAAAAAAAAACGACGCCCCUGAUGAGCGCAAUGGACGGCGCGGAAGAUGAAGCGCGGAUGUGCCUCUGCGGUUCCUUUUUCUCUCUCUCUCUCGUCUUUUUGGCCCCUUCCCCCACCCCCUCGCCGUGCCCUCAAACGAGGCCUGAGUACGACGUCUUCUUCGCGUUUUGCCUGCCCCUUCUCCUCUCCGUAG